Molecule: transfer RNA, 64 nt
Filed under: Krisna concava
Lineage: Eukaryota; Metazoa; Arthropoda; Insecta; Hemiptera; Cicadellidae
Description: tRNA-Leu
Source: RNAcentral
UUCAAUAUGGCAGAAUUAUGCAAUGAACUUAAACCUCAUUUAUGAAUUUCAUAUUCUUUUGAAA